RNAcentral lists this ribosomal RNA (497 nucleotides) under uncultured bacterium. RNAcentral's name for it is "partial 16S ribosomal RNA". It matches the Rfam family "Bacterial small subunit ribosomal RNA", at positions 28 to 507 of the family's 1533-position model. The record is from RNAcentral.
GAUGAACGCUGGCGGCGUGCCUAAUACAUGCAAGUCGAGCGAACGGACGAGAAGCUUGCUUCUUUGAUGUUAGCGGCGGACGGGUGAGUAACACGUGGAUAACCCACCUAUAAGACUGGGAUAACUUCGGGAAACCGGAGCUAAUACCGGAUGAUCUUUUGAACCGCAUGGUUCAAAAGUGAAAGACGGUCUUGCUGUCACUUAUAGAUGGAUCUGCGCUGCAUUAGCUGGUUGGUAAGGUAACGGCUUACCAAGGCAACGAUGCAUAGCCGACCUGAGAGAGGGGUCGGCCACCCUGGAGCGUGAACGCGGUCCAUACUCCUGCGGGAGGCAGCAGUAGGGAAUGUUCGGCAAUAGGCGAGAGCCUGACGGAGCAGGGCGGCGUGAGUGAUGGAGAUCUUCGGAUCGUGAAGCUCUGUUAUUAGGGAAAAACAUAUGUGUAAGUAGCUGUGCACAUCUUGACGGUACCUAGUCAGAAAGCCACGGCUAACUACGUG